RNAcentral lists this ribosomal RNA (949 nucleotides) under uncultured bacterium. RNAcentral's name for it is "bacterial SSU rRNA". It matches the Rfam family "Bacterial small subunit ribosomal RNA", at positions 522 to 1472 of the family's 1533-position model. The record is from RNAcentral.
AAUACGGAAGGUCCAAGCGUUAAUCGGAAUUACUGGGCGUAAAGCGCGCGUAGGUGGUUUAUUAAGUUGGGUGUGAAAGCCCCGGGCUCAACCUGGGAACUGCAUCCAAAACUGAUUCACUAGAGUACGAAAGAGGAAAGUAGAAUUCACAGUGUAGCGGUGGAAUGCGUAGAUAUUGUGAAGAAUACCGAUUGCGAAGGCAGCUUUCUGGUUCUGUACUGACACUGAGGUGCGAAAGCGUGGGUAGCGAACAGGAUUAGAUACCCUGGUAGUCCACGCCGUAAACGAUGACAACUAGCUGUUGGGAAGCUAUGCUUUUCAGUGGCGCAGCUAACGUCUUAAGUUGUCCGCCUGGGGAGUACGGCCGCAAGGUUAAAACUCAAAUGAAUUGACGGGGACCCGCACAAGCGGUGGAGCAUGUGGUUUAAUUCGAUGCAACGCGAAAAACCUUACCUACACUUGACAUACUUGGAAUCUUUUGUAAUGAAAGAGUGCCUUUUGGAGCCAAGAUACAGGUGCUGCAUGGCUGUCGUCAGCUCGUGUCGUGAGAUGUUGGGUUAAGUCCCAUAACGAGCGCAACCCUUACCCUUAUUUGCCAGCGAUUCGGUCGGGAACUAUAAGGGGACUGCCGGUGAUAGACCGGAGGAAGGUGAGGACGACGUCAAGUCAUCAUGGCCCUUCCGUGUAGGGCUACACACGUGCUACAAUGGGGAGUACAGAUAGACGCUAAAGCGCGAGCUGGUGUUAAUCUCAUAAAACUCUUCGUAGUCCGGAUUGCAGUCUGCAACUCGACUGCAUGAAGUCGGAAUCGCUAGUAAUCGCGAAUCAGCAUGUCGCGGUGAAUACGUUCUCGGGUCUUGUACACACCGCCCGUCACACCAUGGGAGUGUAUUGCACCAGAAGUGGGUAGUCUAACCUUCGGGAGGGCGCUCACCACGGCGUGGUCCAU